CCUACGGGAGGCAGCAGUGAGGGAUAGUGGUCAAUGGGGGAAACCCGGAACCAGCAACGCCGCGUGAGGGAAGAAGGUGUGCGGAGUGGAAACCUCUGUCCUCGGGGAAGAGAAUGACGGUAGCAGAGGAGGAAGCUACGGCUAACGACGUGCCAGCAGCCGCGGUAAUACGUAGGGAGCAAGCGUUGUCCGGAUUUACUGGGUGUAAAGGGUGCGUAGGCGGCCCUGCAUGUCAGAAGUGAAAUCCAUGGGCUUAACCCGUGAACUGCUUUUGAAACUGUAGGGCUUGAGGGAAGUAGAGGCAGGCGGAAUUCCCUGUGUAGCGGUGAAAUGCGUAGAGAUCGGGAGGAACCCCAGUGGCGAAGGCGGCCUGCUGGGCUUUAACUGACGCUGACGCACGAAAGCGUGGGUAGCAAACAGGAUUAGCUACCCGAGUAGUC
This 440-nucleotide ribosomal RNA is filed under the name uncultured bacterium. RNAcentral's name for it is "partial 16S ribosomal RNA". It matches the Rfam family "Bacterial small subunit ribosomal RNA", at positions 338 to 795 of the family's 1533-position model. The record is from RNAcentral.